Molecule: ribosomal RNA, 484 nt
Filed under: uncultured bacterium
Lineage: Bacteria
Description: partial 16S ribosomal RNA
Rfam family: Bacterial small subunit ribosomal RNA
Source: RNAcentral
AUUGAACGCUGGCGGCAUGCUUUACACAUGCAAGUCGAACGGCAGCGCGGGCUUCGGCCUGGCGGCGAGUGGCGAACGGGUGAGUAAUGCAUCGGAACGUGCCCAGUAGUGGGGGAUAGCCCGGCGAAAGCCGGAUUAAUACCGCAUACGACCUGAGGGUGAAAGCGGGGGACCGAAAGGCCUCGCGCUAUUGGAGCGGCCGAUGUCGGAUUAGCUAGUUGGUGGGGUAAAGGCUUACCAAGGCGACGAUCCGUAGCUGGUCUGAGAGGACGACCAGCCACACUGGGACUGAGACACGGCCCAGACUCCUACGGGAGGCAGCAGUGGGGAAUUUUGGACAAUGGGGGCAACCCUGAUCCAGCCAAGCCGCGUGCGGGAAGAAGGCCUUCGGGUUGUAAACCGCUUUUGUUCGGGAAGAAAUCCUCUGGGCUAAUACCCCGGGGGGAUGACGGUACCGGAAGAAUAAGCACCGGCUAACUACGUG